AGAUUUGAUCCUGGCUCAGAGUGAACGCUGGCGGCAGGCCUAAUACAUGCAAGUCGAACGGCAGCACAGUGGAGCUUGCUCCAUGGGUGGCGAGUGGCGGACGGGUGAGGAAUACAUGGGAAUCUGCCCAGUCGUGGGGAUAACGUAGGGAAACUUACGCUAAUACCGCAUGCGCCCUUCGGGGGAAAGCCGGGGACCGUAAGGCCUGGCGCGAUUGGAUGAGCCCAUGUCGGAUUAGCUAGUUGGCGGGUAACGGCCCACCAAGGCGACGAUCCGUAGCUGGUCUGAGAGGAUGAUCAGCCACACUGGAACUGAGACACGGUCCAGACUCCUACGGGAGGCAGCAGUAGGGAAUAUUGGACAAUGGGCGCAAGCCUGAUCCAGCCAUGCCGCGUGAGUGAAGAAGGCCCUCGGGUUGUAAAGCUCUUUUGUCCGGAAAGAAAAGCACUGGGUUAAUACCCCGGUGUCCUGACGGUACCGGAAGAAUAAGCACCGGCUAACUUCGUG
This 507-nucleotide ribosomal RNA is filed under the name uncultured bacterium. RNAcentral's name for it is "bacterial SSU rRNA". It matches the Rfam family "Bacterial small subunit ribosomal RNA", at positions 9 to 507 of the family's 1533-position model. The record is from RNAcentral.